RNAcentral lists this ribosomal RNA (427 nucleotides) under uncultured bacterium. Its description in RNAcentral is "bacterial SSU rRNA". It matches the Rfam family "Bacterial small subunit ribosomal RNA", at positions 355 to 775 of the family's 1533-position model. The record is from RNAcentral.
UGGGGAAUCUUGCACAAUGCGCGAAAGCGUGAUGCAGCAACGCCGCGUGCGGGAAGAAGGCCUUAGGGUUGUAAACCGCUUUCAGUUGGGACGAAGCUUCGCGGGUUAAUAGCUCAUUGGAGUGACGGUACCUUCAGAAGAAGCGCCGGCUAACUACGUGCCAGCAGCCGCGGUAAUACGUAGGGCGCAAGCGUUGUCCGGAAUCAUUGGGCGUAAAGCGCGUGUAGGCGGCUGAGUAAGUCUGCUGUGAAAGUCCAGGGCUCAACCCUGGGAUGCCGCAGAUACUGCUUGGCUAGAGUACGGGAGGGGCGAGUGGAAUUCCUGGUGUAGCGGUGGAAUGCGCAGAUAUCAGGAGGAACACCUAUGGCGAAGGCAGCUCGCUGGAACGUUACUGACGCUGAGACGCGAAAGCGUGGGGAGCAAACAG